AACGAUAGAAGCACGCUGUCAUGAUGGGCAUAUCAGUUUUAGGAUUCAUGGGUUUUUUCCCGAUCAUUACCCAAGCGCUUAUGUAAAUUUCAGGUAUAGAGUGUAGGCUUAGUGUAGGUAUAACAGGGCAGACUUUUCUAUCUGCUCAUUAUUCUUUUCCUAUUUCUUCUGGGCAGAUUGGCUGCUAUUGUAAUGGAAACCAGAGGCCUAUUCUAUUUUUUGUUCAUACACAUUGAGAGAGGCAUGCUAUACAUUAUACAUACAGGUUGAGAUUAUCUCCCCCAGUUGGAAAAAGGAGAAAUGAUCCAUACAAUGAAAAUGAUAUCUUGCCAAUUUUUGUAG
RNAcentral lists this long non-coding RNA (342 nucleotides) under Lathyrus oleraceus (garden pea). RNAcentral's name for it is "Pisum sativum (pea) long non-coding RNA (PSAT_LNC009673)". Lineage: Eukaryota; Viridiplantae; Streptophyta; Magnoliopsida; Fabales; Fabaceae. The record is from RNAcentral.